This 446-nucleotide ribosomal RNA is filed under the name uncultured bacterium. RNAcentral describes it as "partial 16S ribosomal RNA". It matches the Rfam family "Bacterial small subunit ribosomal RNA", at positions 338 to 795 of the family's 1533-position model. The record is from RNAcentral.
CCUACGGGUGGCAGCAGUCGAGAAUCAUUCACAAUGGGGGAAACUCUGAUGGUGCGACGCCGCGUGGGGGAAUGAAGGUCUUCGGAUUGUAAACCCCUGUCAUGUGGGAGCAAAUUAAAAAGAUAGUACCACAAGAGGAAGAGACGGCUAACUCUGUGCCAGCAGCCGCGGUAAUACAGAGGUCUCAAGCGUUGUUCGGAAUCACUGGGCGUAAAGCGUGCGUAGGCUGUUUCGUAAGUCGUGUGUGAAAGGCGCGGGCUCAACCCGCGGACGGCACAUGAUACUGCGAGACUAGAGUAAUGGAGGGGGAACCGGAAUUCGCGGUGUAGCAGUGAAAUGCGUAGAUAUCGAGAGGAACACUCGUGGCGAAGGCGGGUUACUGGACAUUAACUGACGCUGAGGCACGAAGGCCAGGGGAGCGAAAGGGAUUAGAUACCCCUGUAGUC